This 253-nucleotide ribosomal RNA is filed under the name uncultured bacterium. Its description in RNAcentral is "partial 16S ribosomal RNA". It matches the Rfam family "Bacterial small subunit ribosomal RNA", at positions 524 to 776 of the family's 1533-position model. The record is from RNAcentral.
GACAGAGGUUGCAAACGUUGUUCGGAAUCACUGGGCAUAAAGCGCACGUAGGCGGUCUGUUAAGUCAGGUGUGAAAGCCCCCGGCUCAACCGGGGAAUUGCAUUUGAUACUGGCAGGCUCGAGAACGGUAGGGGUGAGUGGAACUCCAGGUGGAGCGGUGAAAUGCGUAGAUAUCUGGAGGAGCACCGGUGGCGAAAGCGGCUCACUGGACCGUCACUGACGCUGAGGUGCGAAAGCUAGGGUAGCAAACGGG